UUUAAGUUUAGUUGUAAUUUCUGUCCAAUGCUUGACCAUUCGUUAUAUUUGAAUUUUGUUAUGAUUAGUGUUUUUUAUUAGAUGAUAAAACAUGAAUAUUAUUUUAUGUGUGAUUUUUUUAAUUUUUUUAUUUUUUUAAAUAAGAUGGACGGUUAAACAUACACACAGAAACUGAUAGCUGCACUGGGA
This 189-nucleotide microRNA precursor is filed under the name Oryza barthii. Its description in RNAcentral is "MIR812 microRNA precursor family". It matches the Rfam family "MIR812 microRNA precursor family". The record is from Rfam by way of RNAcentral. Lineage: Eukaryota; Viridiplantae; Streptophyta; Magnoliopsida; Poales; Poaceae.